UACGUAGGGUGCAAGCGUUAAUCGGAAUGACUGGGCGUAAAGGGCGCGUAGGCGGCUCGCCAAGUCAGGGGUGAAAUCCUUCGGCUCAACCGGAGAACAGCUUCUGAUACUGGCGAGCUGGAGGGAGGUAGGGGCAGAUGGAACUUCCGGUGGAGCGGUGAAAUGCGUAGAUAUGUGGAGGAACACCGAUGGCGAAGGCAGCCCCCUGGGUCAAGACUGACGCUCAUGCACGAAAGCGUGGGGAGCAAACAGG
RNAcentral lists this ribosomal RNA (253 nucleotides) under uncultured bacterium. Its description in RNAcentral is "partial 16S ribosomal RNA". It matches the Rfam family "Bacterial small subunit ribosomal RNA", at positions 524 to 776 of the family's 1533-position model. The record is from RNAcentral.